GAUGAACGCUGGCGGCGUGCCUAAUACAUGCAAGUCGAGCGAACAGAUGAGAAGCUUGCUCCUCUGACGUUAGCGGCGGACGGGUGAGUAACACGUGGAUAACCUACCUAUAAGACUGGGAUAACUUCGGGAAACCGGAGCUAAUACCGGAUAAUAUAUUGAACCGCAUGGUUCAAUAGUGAAAGACGGUUUUGCUGUCACUUAUAGAUGGAUCCGCGCCGCAUUAGCUAGUUGGUAAGGUAACGGCUUACCAAGGCAACGAUGCGUAGCCGACCUGAGAGGGUGAUCGGCCACACUGGAACUGAGACACGGUCCAGACUCCUACGGGAGGCAGCAGUAGGGAAUCUUCCGCAAUGGGCGAAAGCCUGACGGAGCAACGCCGCGUGAGUGAUGAAGGUCUCGGAUCGUAAAACUCUGUUAUUAGGGAAGAACAAAUGUGUAAGUAACUAUGCACGUCUUGACGGUACCUAAUCAGAAAGCCACGGCUAACUACGUG
Molecule: ribosomal RNA, 496 nt
Filed under: uncultured bacterium
Lineage: Bacteria
Description: partial 16S ribosomal RNA
Rfam family: Bacterial small subunit ribosomal RNA
Source: RNAcentral